CAGACCACUGAUUGUUCUGCUGACAGGUGAUAACUCUCUCCCCCACCAGCUCAAAGGCCGCCGGGCAUUCAAAGGCUGGGAGCCAUCAUGGCUGACUCACUAUGAUCUCAGGCUCCUGGGCUCAAGUGAUCUUUCGACCUCAGCCCCUGGAGUGGCUGGGACAACAGACAGCAAAUUUAACCAAGGUAAAUUUCAGCACCUUGAUUCACGUAUAUUGACAUUGAGGUGAAGAACUAUGACCUGUUAGAAUAAAACUGAUCAAAGAUGACCACAAAAGAUUUUAGUGUCUACCAUCUCUAAAAGGAACAUCACUUUUCAAAUCAAUUAAUGGAAAAGGAAGCUGGAGACUGUCCACCUGCUCUUUCCCUCAAUUGCCUCCUCUCCUCCUUCAAUGUCAUCUUAAGUGACUUCUCCUUAUUAAACACCAGGACAGAUGAAGAUACAAGGCAAUAUAAUUUUUUAUUUAUGUUUUUAUUUCUUGACACUGCCACUUUCAAGGUGAGAUGCCAUAAUUAACUUUUUAAAAACUUGUCAACUUACUUUAUUUUUCUUACAUUACAAACCACUAAGUCAAA
Molecule: long non-coding RNA, 575 nt
Organism: Homo sapiens (human)
Lineage: Eukaryota; Metazoa; Chordata; Mammalia; Primates; Hominidae
Exons: 4
Source: RefSeq, a predicted model, not a curated record